RNAcentral lists this ribosomal RNA (253 nucleotides) under uncultured bacterium. RNAcentral's name for it is "partial 16S ribosomal RNA". It matches the Rfam family "Bacterial small subunit ribosomal RNA", at positions 524 to 776 of the family's 1533-position model. The record is from RNAcentral.
UACGGAGGGGGCUAGCGUUGUCCGGAAUUACUGGGCGUAAAGCGCACGUAGGCGGCUUUGUAAGUUAGAGGUGAAAGCCCAGGGCUCAACCCUGGAAUUGCCUUUAAGACUGGAUCGCUUGAAUCAUGGAGAGGUGAGUGGAAUUCCGAGUGUAGAGGUGAAAUUCGUAGAUAUUCGGAAGAACACCAGUGGCGAAGGCGACUCACUGGACAUGUAUUGACGCUGAGGUGCGAAAGCGUGGGGAGCAAACAGG